RNAcentral lists this ribosomal RNA (446 nucleotides) under uncultured bacterium. RNAcentral's name for it is "bacterial SSU rRNA". It matches the Rfam family "Bacterial small subunit ribosomal RNA", at positions 330 to 793 of the family's 1533-position model. The record is from RNAcentral.
GCCAGACUCCUACGGGAGGCAGCAGUGGGGGAUAUUGCACAAUGGGGGAAACCCUGAUGCAGCGACGCCGCGUGAAGGAUGAAGUAUUUCGGUAUGUAAACUUCUAUCAGCAGGGAAGAAAAUGACGGUACCUGACUAAGAAGCCCCGGCUAACUACGUGCCAGCAGCCGCGGUAAUACGUAGGGGGCAAGCGUUAUCCGGAUUUACUGGGUGUAAAGGGAGCGUAGACGGCAAUACAAGUCGGAAGUGAAAUACCCGGGCUCAACCUGGGAACUGCUUUGGAAACUGUAUGGCUGGAGUGCUGGAGAGGUAAGCGGAAUUCCUAGUGUAGCGGUGAAAUGCGUAGAUAUUAGGAGGAACACCAGUGGCGAAGGCGGCUUACUGGACAGUAACUGACGUUGAGGCUCGAAAGCGUGGGGAGCAAACAGGAUUAGAUACCCUUGUAC